AAGCAUCUGCUGAUAGGCUGGGAACAACUACUUUUGCUCUCUAGCUUGCAUAAAGAUGCAACAGCAAUUUCCUUGCGCUUUCUGUGUGCCUGAUAAACGUGGCAACUCAGAUUGAAUAAGGGAGAACAUUU
Molecule: small nucleolar RNA, 131 nt
Organism: Podarcis muralis (Common wall lizard)
Lineage: Eukaryota; Metazoa; Chordata; Lepidosauria; Squamata; Lacertidae
Gene: SNORA31
Product: small nucleolar RNA SNORA31
Source: Ensembl